RNAcentral lists this long non-coding RNA (713 nucleotides) under Struthio camelus australis. Its description in RNAcentral is "lncRNA (ENSSCUG00000002077.1)". The record is from RNAcentral. Lineage: Eukaryota; Metazoa; Chordata; Aves; Struthioniformes; Struthionidae.
CACAGACUCAUUCAGCAGCUCCAGGCAGCCCAAAGCUCCUGGUCGGGCACUUCCCGAGGCCUCACCCUCUAUCUAUUGUUGGUUCGACCAUCCUGGAAAUUCUUAGUGCAAUAGGAAAUAGCCAAAGGGAGGGGUCUAUUUUGCUUUUGGGGCGAGAUGCAGACAGUCGCCUUGUUUUUCUUCUCUGCUUCACUUUAAGCUAGCAGGAAAAGGAAGGUCUCAACCUGGUCAUUGCUUAUACAUGAGGAUGGUGCUGGGCUCCGUCAGGGAGCAGUCCAUGCUCCUGCACCAGUCCUGGCUCCUGCGGAAGACUGGCAGCUCAGCACCCCCGGCCGUGGCUGGAGCUAGCUGUGAUGUUGCUGACAGAUGUUUUUCAGGAGGAAGAGGAUGGAUAUGCUGCCAAGGGUGUGCGCUGGGCUGCUUCUCCUGUCCCUGCUCUACACCACAGGCCUCUGCCAAAGGAACAAAAAUAACCGCUGCGUGUUGUCCCAAGCGAAGAGCUGCACUGAGUGUGUCCGCGUGGACAAGGACUGCUCCUUCUGCACAGAUGAGAGUUUCAAAGAGCCUCGCUGCGACUUGCGGGAGAAUUUGCUGCGAUACGGCUGCGAGGAGGCCAGUAUUGUGUACAUGAGAGGCGAGAUGAGGGCUCUGCAGGUAGGUGCUAGGUAGAGAUUUGUUGUUCCACUUCUUCUGAAGGGUCCUACUUUUUCCAA